Molecule: ribosomal RNA, 110 nt
Filed under: Chlorocebus sabaeus (green monkey)
Lineage: Eukaryota; Metazoa; Chordata; Mammalia; Primates; Cercopithecidae
Source: RNAcentral
UACAGCAAUACCACUCUGAACACACCACAUCUCUUCUGAUCUUGGAAGCUAAGCAGGGUCGGACCUGGUUAGUACUUGGAUUAGAGGAAUAGCUCCAAGAGUUGCUUUGU